UAUUAUUUAUUUAUAUCCGCACUUUAUUCUUGUAACCGCAUUUUUAGUAUAGCCGCAUAAUUUUACUUUAUUGUUACUGCAUUUAUAGUAUAACCGCGUAUGUAUAUUUUUUUCUGUAACUGCAUCUUAAAUUUUUAAUUGCUCCACCUCGCGACCCUCUCUUUUGUUAGUUAGCCUAUUUAGGCUGAUUAUUCCUGCGUGUUGAAAGGCAUUGCCUUUCAAGGCGGGGGAUGCUGUUUGGGCCAUUUUCGCUGUUUCCUUCCGGUUGGCGGAAAUGCUUAUGACGUACGAGGAAGCACGACCCUUGUUGUUGUCUAUGCUCGUGCGCGCAUCGGCCGUGCCCUUUAAUCGACCGAUAUUGUGCGACGUGGGUGGACGUAAUCUGUUUUUAUAAUAACCGCUAAGGUGUGACCAUAAGUUCGCGUGUGACCUUAGUACGGCCGCUGAAUUAUUUUUACCGCUGCAGCAGAGCUUAGCACUGGUGCACCCGAUCCUUGUGAAUUCCCAGGCGCCUGGAAUGCGCAGAGAAGAAGACACACAGAUAACCAAUGGAAGGUCGUAUGCGCCGCCGAGCUCGAUCGCUCCCGACGCGAGGCGACUCCUGAAGCUGAACCCUCGUCCACACGCGUGACUGACGUGAGAAUAUAACCAAAUCUAGCGAAGGACAGACGCAGUUGGUUCGUCUGCACCGAUCUCAAAAAACAUUCUGCUGAUGCACUUAGUUUGUAAUAAAUGAAGGUAAAUUUUAAACUAAGCAAUAAUUGCAGAAUAAGUUUGUGGGUUUAAGUUAUGUUAUUCGUAUUGUCGCGAGAGCUUAGUUUAAUAAAUAUGUGAAGUUUU
Molecule: long non-coding RNA, 840 nt
Organism: Melitaea cinxia (Glanville fritillary)
Lineage: Eukaryota; Metazoa; Arthropoda; Insecta; Lepidoptera; Nymphalidae
Exons: 3
Source: RefSeq, a predicted model, not a curated record